Molecule: ribosomal RNA, 643 nt
Filed under: uncultured Desulfosporosinus sp.
Lineage: Bacteria; Bacillati; Bacillota; Clostridia; Eubacteriales; Desulfitobacteriaceae
Description: bacterial SSU rRNA
Rfam family: Bacterial small subunit ribosomal RNA
Source: RNAcentral
GAGUUUGAUCCUGGCUCAGGACGAACGCUGGCGGCGUGCCUAACACAUGCAAGUCGAACGGAGAAUUUCAAGAAGUUUACUUCGAGAAAUUUUUAGUGGCGGACGGGUGAGUAACGCGUGGGUAACCUACCCAUAAACCCGGGACAACCCUUGGAAACGAGGGCUAAUACCGGAUAAUCUUUGAGCUUGGCAUCAAGCACUAAGAAAAGGUGGCCUCUGAACAUGCUACCGAUUAUGGAUGGACCCGCGUCUGAUUAGCUAGUUGGUGGGGUAAAAGCCUACCAAGGCGACGAUCAGUAGCCGGCCUGAGAGGGUGAACGGCCACACUGGGACUGAGACACGGCCCAGACUCCUACGGGAGGCAGCAGUGGGGAAUCUUCCGCAAUGGACGAAAGUCUGACGGAGCAACGCCGCGUGUAUGAUGAAGGUCUUCGGAUUGUAAAGUACUGUCUUUGGGGAAGAAUGACUGAUUUGAAAAUAUUGAGUCAGUAUGACGGUACCCAAGGAGGAAGCCCCGGCUAACUACGUGCCAGCAGCCGCGGUAAUACGUAGGGGGCAAGCGUUGUCCGGAAUUAUUGGGCGUAAAGGGCGCGUAGGCGGAUAGUUAAGUCCGGUGUGAAAGAUCAGGGCUCAACCCUGAGAG